GGGCCGGUCAGCUCAGUUGGUUGAGCGCGGUGCUGAUAAUACCAAGGUCACAAGUUUGAUUCCCGUUCGGUCCC
RNAcentral lists this transfer RNA (74 nucleotides) under Apaloderma vittatum (bar-tailed trogon). It matches the Rfam family "tRNA". Rfam says of the family: Transfer RNA (tRNA) molecules are approximately 80 nucleotides in length. Their secondary structure includes four short double-helical elements and three loops (D, anti-codon, and T loops). Lineage: Eukaryota; Metazoa; Chordata; Aves; Trogoniformes; Trogonidae. The record is from Rfam by way of RNAcentral.